RNAcentral lists this ribosomal RNA (465 nucleotides) under uncultured bacterium. Its description in RNAcentral is "partial 16S ribosomal RNA". It matches the Rfam family "Bacterial small subunit ribosomal RNA", at positions 28 to 507 of the family's 1533-position model. The record is from RNAcentral.
GACGAACGCUGGCGGCGUGCUUAACACAUGCAAGUCGAACGGAAAGGCCCUGCUUGCAGGGUACUCGAGUGGCGAACGGGUGAGUAACACGUGGGUGAUCUGCCCUGCACUUCGGGAUAAGCCUGGGAAACUGGGUCUAAUACCGGAUAGGAGCCAUUUUUAGUGUGAUGGUUGGAAAGUUUUUUCGGUGUAGGAUGAGCUCGCGGCCUAUCAGCUUGUUGGUGGGGUAAUGGCCUACCAAGGCGGCGACGGGUAGCCGGCCUGAGAGGGUGGACGGCCACAUUGGGACUGAGGGACGGCCCAGACUCCUACGGGAGGAAGCAGUGGGGAAUAUUGCACAAUGGGCGCAAGCCUGAUGCAGCGACGCCGCGUGGGGGAGGACGGCCUUCGGGUUGUAAACUCCUUUCGCUAGGGACGAAGCUUUUUGUGACGGUACCUAGAGAAGAAGCACCGGCUAACUACGUG